RNAcentral lists this ribosomal RNA (100 nucleotides) under Cordylochernes scorpioides. The record is from RNAcentral. Lineage: Eukaryota; Metazoa; Arthropoda; Arachnida; Pseudoscorpiones; Chernetidae.
ACGGCCAUACAAUAUGAAAACACCGGUUCUCGUCCGAUCACCGAAGUUGAGUAAUGUCGGUCAGUACUUGGGAGGGUGACACCUGGGAGUGCUGUAGGUU